CCUACGGGAGGCAGCAGUGAGGAAUAUUGGUCAAUGGGCGCGAGCCUGAACCAGCCAAGUAGCGUGAAGGAUGACUGCCCUACGGGUUGUAAACUUCUUUUAUAAAGGAAUAAAGUGAGGCACGUGUGCCUUUUUGUAUGUACUUUAUCAAUAAGGAUCGGCUAACUCCGUGCCACCAGCCGCGGUAAUACGGAGGAUCCGAGCGUUAUCCGGAUUUAUUGGGUUUAAAGGGGGCGGAGAUGGGUUGUUAAGUCAGUUGUGAAAGAUUGCGGCUCAACCGUACAAUUGCAAUUGAUACUGGCAGCCUUGAGUACAGUUGAGGUAGGCGGAAUUCGUGGUGUAGCGGUGAAAUGCUUAGAUAUCACGAAGAACUCCGAUUGCGAAGGCAGCCUACUAGACUGCAACUGACAUUGAUGCUCGAAAGUGUGGGUAUCAAACAGGAUUAGAUACCCGGGUAGUC
Molecule: ribosomal RNA, 460 nt
Filed under: uncultured bacterium
Lineage: Bacteria
Description: partial 16S ribosomal RNA
Rfam family: Bacterial small subunit ribosomal RNA
Source: RNAcentral